AUUUGGGCUGUUUACUCACAUGUACCAAGAGUCUCAGAGUUUGAAGGAGAGAGGAGCUAGCCAUUUGCUCCUGAAAUACUUGUCUACCAGACCUGUCUGAUCAGCAUUUCCCAGAGACACAAAUUACUAUAAAGUUAUCCCUGAUCUUAUAUCGUGACAAGGGCUUCGCCAUUUCCGGGACUUCUGCACGGAUGGAUUUCAGAGGUGUUGACACCCAG
This is a long non-coding RNA of Mobula hypostoma (lesser devil ray), 218 nucleotides long. RefSeq lists it as uncharacterized. The transcript has 3 exons. Lineage: Eukaryota; Metazoa; Chordata; Chondrichthyes; Myliobatiformes; Myliobatidae. The record is from RefSeq and is a predicted model, not a curated record.